GUAACAGCCGAUAUAAUUUCUUGCCAGUUCUACUGUUCGUUCUAUCAGGUCGUGCGGAUAAACCUUUGCGUUUCACGUUGUCUGCUGUUGCUGAUAUUUUAAUACAGAAUCAGAGUGUUAAAGAGUACUACUACACUGUAGUAUUCUUCAAUAUUAUUCGGUGCGUGGCAGUUAAGCUCUGAUCAUCUGUUUUUGCCCCCCAAAAAUGGCCUCAAUUACCAGUGCUUGGGUCAUCCACCAUCCACACCUCAAAAAUCACCGAUUCAAGAAAUCAAUUUCUCUCUCCUAUUGGUCCCACAAUAAUAACCCACCUACUCCAUCAUCUUCUUCAACAAAUCUGUUCCGGAAAAUGCAAUUGAAUGGAAGAAGAAGAAAUAUUGUUAUGGAAAAUCCUUCAAUUUACAGUCUUGAAACUUCAUUAUUACCUCAUAAAGUGAAUUCCCAGAAGAAGGAGGAUUACCCUGUUGAUCAUGAUACUCCUGAACCAGAGGUCUUUGCUUGGUCUUCUGUAAUUUUGCCGUUUCUAUUCCCUGCACUAGGUGGUCUACUAUUUGGAUAUGAUAUUGGUGCUACUUCUGGAGCUACGAUAUCACUACAGUCUGCUGAGCUUAGUGGUACAACAUGGUUCAAUCUUUCAGCAGUUCAACAGGGUUUGGUGGUGAGUGGCUCACUUUAUGGAGCUCUCUUUGGUUCUAUCGCCGUCUUUCCGAUAGCUGACUUCCUUGGAAGGAGACGUGAACUUCUCAUAGCUGCAACUCUAUAUGCAAUUGGUGGCCUCACCACUGCAUUUGCUCCUAGCCUUGGAGUUCUUUUGAUUGGGAGGCUUCUUUACGGCCUUGGCAUUGGUUGGGCCAUGCAUGCGGCCCCACUUUAUAUUGCAGAAACGUGCCCUUCUCAGAUUCGAGGAACCCUGAUUUCGUUGAAAGAACUUUUUAUAGUUCUUGGCAUUUUGCUGGGUUAUUUUGUUGGUAACUUUAAUAUCGAUAUGGUUGGAGGAUGGCGUUACAUGUUUGGACUGAGUCUUCCGGUUGCUGCAGCUAUGGGUCUUGGGAUGUUAAGUCUGCCUCGUUCACCUCGCUGGUUGCUUCUCAAGGGUGUUAAAGGUGAAGGAUCUUUACAGGAGUAUAAGGAAUUGGCUAUUGCUGCUCUGAGCAAACUCCGAGGCAGACCUGCUGGUGAUAAAGUGUCUGAAAAGCAAAUUGAAGACACACUAGUUUCAAUGAAGUCUGCUUACCAAGAUCAGGAAUCAGAGGGAAGCUUUUUAGAGGUGUUUCAAGGGCCGAAUCUGAAAGCUUUUAUCAUUGGUGGAGGUCUCGUACUUUUUCAGCAGAUAACUGGGCAGCCUAGUGUUUUGUAUUAUGCUGGUCAAAUUCUACAGAGUGCUGGAUUUUCUGCUGCAGCUGAUGCCACUCGAGUUUCAGUGUUGAUUGGCCUAUUUAAGUUUGUUAUGACAGGAGUAGCCGUUCUGAAGGUUGAUGAUCUUGGAAGGAAACCCUUACUAAUAGGAGGUGUUAGUGGGAUAGCUGUAUCCUUGUUCCUCCUUGCUGCUUACUACAAGUUUCUUGGAGGCCUCCCUUUUGUUGCUGUGGCCGCUUUACUUCUAUACGUCGGUUGCUAUCAAAUAUCAUUUGGUCCUAUCAGUUGGCUAAUGGUGUCAGAGAUAUUCCCCCUUCGCACAAGAGGACGUGGGAUCAGUCUGGCUGUUUUAACAAACUUUGGUUCAAAUGCUCUUGUGACUUUUGCCUUUUCACCAUUGAAGGAGUUUCUUGGUGCUGAUAAUCUUUUCCUCAUAUUUGGAGCUAUUGCUUUGCUGUCUCUCGUAUUUGUAUUGACCCUGGUUCCAGAGACUAAAGGAUUAAGUCUGGAAGAAAUCGAGGCAAAGUUAUCGGAAUGAGAUUUGGUUCUGAUGCUACAUUAUGAGAAAAUACCAAGAAGAUGGGAGCACAGAUUUGUUUUCUUAAAUUUGCACUGGGAGAUUUUUCCGAAACAGAUGAAGUCAGAUUAUAAGUUACGCAUGAGUCAAAGCUCAGGUAGUUAACUGAUAUGGGAAAACGACUCACAGUGCUUUGGAAUCUAUAUGAUUUAAGGACCAAGUUGGAGGAAUGAAUUAGUAAGCACUCAUUUCAGGAUUGUACUGAGAUAGCAAUACAUCAGUUGUAUCAAAACGGUUUAGUUCUAAACCUAAUAUCUGAGAUAAUGUUCCUACAGCACUCUGAAA
Molecule: RNA transcript, 2218 nt
Organism: Spinacia oleracea (spinach)
Lineage: Eukaryota; Viridiplantae; Streptophyta; Magnoliopsida; Caryophyllales; Amaranthaceae
Gene name: D-xylose-proton symporter-like 3, chloroplastic
Exons: 15
Source: RefSeq, a predicted model, not a curated record